GAUGAACGCUGGCGGCGUGCCUAAUACAUGCAAGUCGAGCGAACGGACGAGAAUCUUGCUUCUCUGAUGUUAGCGGCGGACGGGUGAGUAACACGUGGAUACCCUAUCUAUAAGACUGGGUUCACUUCGGGAAACCGGAUAUAAUACAGGCUCAUCUUUUGAACCGCAUGGUUCAUAAGAGCAAGCAGGUUUUGCUGUCACUUUUAGAUGUAUCCUCGCUGGAUUGGCUAGUUGGUAAGGUAACGGCUUACCAAGGCAACGAUGCAUAGCCGACCUGAGAGGGUGAUCGGCCACACUGGAACUAGGACACGGUCCAGACUCCUACGGGAGGCAGCAGUGGGGAAUCUUCCGCAAUGGGCGAAAGCCUGACGGAGCAACGCCGCGUGAGUGAUGAAGGUCUUCGGAUCGUAAAGCUCUGUUAUCAGGGAAGAACAUAUGUGUAAGUAACUGUGGACAUCUUGACGGUACCUAAACAGAAAGCCACGGCUAACUACGUG
RNAcentral lists this ribosomal RNA (497 nucleotides) under uncultured bacterium. RNAcentral describes it as "partial 16S ribosomal RNA". It matches the Rfam family "Bacterial small subunit ribosomal RNA", at positions 28 to 507 of the family's 1533-position model. The record is from RNAcentral.